GACGAACGCUGGCGGCGUGCCUAAUACAUGCAAGUCGAACGCACUCUCGUUUAGAUUGAAGGAGCUUGCUCCUGAUUGAUAAACAUUUGAGUGAGUGGCGGACGGGUGAGUAACACGUGGGUAACCUGCCCUAAAGUGGGGGAUAACAUUUGGAAACAGAUGCUAAUACCGCAUAAAACCUAAACACCGCAUGGUGUAGGGUUGAAAGAUGGUUUCGGCUAUCACUUUAGGAUGGACCCGCGGUGCAUUAGUUAGUUGGUGAGGUAAAGGCUCACCAAGACCGUGAUGCAUAGCCGACCUGAGAGGGUAAUCGGCCACACUGGGACUGAGACACGGCCCAGACUCCUACGGGAGGCAGCAGUAGGGAAUCUUCCACAAAGGACGAAAGUCUGAUGGAGCAACGCCGCGUGAGUGAAG
Molecule: ribosomal RNA, 417 nt
Filed under: uncultured bacterium
Lineage: Bacteria
Description: bacterial SSU rRNA
Rfam family: Bacterial small subunit ribosomal RNA
Source: RNAcentral